GGAUUCCCCUAGUAACUGCGAGUGAAGCGGGAAAAGCUCAAAUUUGAAAUCUGGCGGUCUUUGGCCGUCCGAGUUGUAACCUGGAGGAGCGCUUUCCGCGCCGGACCGUGUACAAGUCUCCUGGAACGGAGCGUCAUAGAGGGUGAGAAUCCCGUCCAUGACACGGACGCCCGGUGCUUUGUGAUUGCGCCCCCGAAGAGUCGCGUUGUUUGGGAAUGCAGCGCAAAAUGGGUGGUAAAUUCCAUCUAAAGCUAAAUAUUGGCGAGAGACCGAUAGCGAACAAGUACCGUGAGGGAAAGAUGAAAAGCACUUUGGAAAGAGAGUUAAACAGUACGUGAAAUUGUUGAAAGGGAAACGCUUGAAGUCAGUCGCGUCGCACGGAACUCAGCCUGGCCUCGGCCUGGUGUACUUUCCGUGGGACGGGUCAACAUCAAUUUCGGGCGGCGGACAAGGGCGAGGGGAAUGUAGCGUCGCUUCGGCGGCGUGUUAUAGCCCCUUGUCGUAUACGCCGUGCGGGAUUGAGGACCGCAGCGCGCCCUUGUGGCCGGGGUUCGCCCACGUCACGCGCUUAGGAUGUUGGCAUAAUGGCUUUAAGCGACCCGUCUUGAAACACGGACCAAGGAGUCUAACAUGCUUGCGAGUGUUCGGGUGGAAAACCCUUGCGCGGAAUGAAAGUGAAAGUUGGGAGCCUCCGCGAGGGGGUGCACCGACGCCCGGCCCUGAAGUUCUCUGACGGUGCUGCGGUAGAGCAGGUGUGUUGGGACCCGAAAGAUGGUGAACUAUGCCUGAAUAGGGCGAAGCCAGAGGAAACUCUGGUGGAGGCUCGUAGCGAUUCUGACGUGCAAAUCGAUCGUCAAAUUUGGGUAUAGGGGCGAAAGACUAAUCGAACCAU
RNAcentral lists this ribosomal RNA (892 nucleotides) under Phellinotus piptadeniae. Its description in RNAcentral is "LSU rRNA". It matches the Rfam family "Eukaryotic large subunit ribosomal RNA", at positions 72 to 943 of the family's 3401-position model. The record is from RNAcentral. Lineage: Eukaryota; Fungi; Basidiomycota; Agaricomycetes; Hymenochaetales; Hymenochaetaceae.